AACGAACGCUGGCGGCAGGCCUAACACAUGCAAGUCGAGCGCCCCGCGAGGGGUUCGGCGUACGGGUGAGUACCGCGUGGGGAUAUGCCCUUUGCUACGUAAUAGUCUCGGGAAACUGGGGUUAAUACCGUAUACGCCCUUUGGCGGAAAGAUUUAUCGGCGAAGGAUGAGCCCGCGUUGGAUUAGGUAGUUGGUGGGGUAAUGGCCUACCAAGCCGACGAUCCAUAGCUGGGUUGAGAGGAUGAUCAGACACACUGGGACUGAGACACGGCCCAGACUCUUAGGGGAGGGAGCAGUGGGGAAUCCUAGAAAACGGGGGCAAUGAUGAUGUAGCCAGGACGGGUGAGUGAUGAAGGUCGGAGGGUAGGAAAGCUAGUUAAGCUCGGAAGAUAAUGACGGUACCAACAGAAGAAGCCCCGGCUAACUUCGUG
Molecule: ribosomal RNA, 431 nt
Filed under: uncultured bacterium
Lineage: Bacteria
Description: partial 16S ribosomal RNA
Rfam family: Bacterial small subunit ribosomal RNA
Source: RNAcentral